RNAcentral lists this unclassified non-coding RNA (376 nucleotides) under uncultured bacterium. Its description in RNAcentral is "contains 16S-23S intergenic spacer region". The record is from RNAcentral.
UCCGGUUUGUCACCGGCAGUCUCCUAUGAGUCCCCAACUGAAUGCUGGCAACAUAGGACAAGGGUUGCGCUCGUUGCGGGACUUAACCCAACAUCUCACGACACGAGCUGACGACAGCCAUGCACCACCUGUGCACUGGUCCCGAAGGAGGGCCGUAUUUCUACGGAUUUCCAGUGCAUGUCAAGCCCUGGUAAGGUUCUUCGCGUUGCAUCGAAUUAAACCACAUGCUCCACCGCUUGUGCAGGCCCCCGUCAAUUUCUUUGAGUUUUAACCUUGCGGCCGUACUCCCCAGGCGGAUGACUUAACGCGUUAGCUGCGGCGCUGAAUGCGUCGAAGCACCCAGCACCUAGUACCCAUCGUUUACGGCUAGGACUAC